RNAcentral lists this ribosomal RNA (446 nucleotides) under uncultured bacterium. RNAcentral's name for it is "bacterial SSU rRNA". It matches the Rfam family "Bacterial small subunit ribosomal RNA", at positions 358 to 796 of the family's 1533-position model. The record is from RNAcentral.
GGAAUAUUGCACAAUGGGCGCAAGCCUGAUGCAGCCAUGCCGCGUGUGUGAAGAAGGCCUUCGGGUUGUAAAGCACUUUCAGUAAGGAGGAAAGGUUGGAUGUUAAUAGCAUUCAGCUGUGACGUUACUUACAGAAGAAGCACCGGCUAACUCCGUGCCAGCAGCCGCGGUAAUACGGAGGGUGCGAGCGUUAAUCGGAAUUACUGGGCGUAAAGCGUACGCAGGCGGUUUGUUAAGCGAGAUGUGAAAGCCCCGGGCUCAACCUGGGAACUGCAUUUCGAACUGGCAAACUAGAGUGUGAUAGAGGGUGGUAGAAUUUCAGGUGUAGCGGUGAAAUGCGUAGAGAUCUGAAGGAAUACCGAUGGCGAAGGCAGCCACCUGGGUCAACACUGACGCUCAUGUACGAAAGCGUGGGGAGCAAACAGGAUUAGAAACCCGGGUAGUCC